GAUUAAACUAGUAAAAUUCAACCCAUUGUGGCUGAUAGGGGUUUACAUACAACAUCACAAAGGUUGGGGAAUUAGAAAGACCUGAGCUCACGUCCCACCUGUGAUGGCACUGUGAUGCGGGCCUUGGGUGAGCUGGCCUCUUGAAGGCCUCCUUUCCCCAAAUACCCAAGAUGUACUGAUGUUUAUGGGGGGGGGGUGUUGGUGGGGAGACUAACUAUACUGCCUAACACUAAUAGGAAUCUCUGAAGAAAGAUUGAACUGACAAAGGAAACUUGCCAUUUGAAAUUUAUAAAAGAAGAACCAACACCAAUGACUUUUCUAGCACUGUAGAGGACUACACCUGGAAAAAUGUUUUUUCUUAUCCAAAUACCUUUGCAGAGGGACCGCGGCUGAACAGGCCACAUGCUUUAUUGUCACAGCGGAUGAAGGCCGAUGAAACAGGACAUGCUUUGGAAGACAAUGCAGUGAGAAACAACACCGCAUGGUCAACUUCUUCUUCAGGAUUUCCGAUCUCUCUGAAACCACUCUACCUAUGCCUUCGCUGUCCUAAAUCAAAAGUAAAAAAUACAGAAAACACGAGGUAAGCUGAAAGCACAGCCCAGCAGUGGGUG
Molecule: long non-coding RNA, 611 nt
Filed under: Mustela putorius furo (domestic ferret)
Lineage: Eukaryota; Metazoa; Chordata; Mammalia; Carnivora; Mustelidae
Description: lncRNA (ENSMPUG00000025545.1)
Source: RNAcentral